This 425-nucleotide ribosomal RNA is filed under the name uncultured bacterium. RNAcentral's name for it is "partial 16S ribosomal RNA". It matches the Rfam family "Bacterial small subunit ribosomal RNA", at positions 354 to 796 of the family's 1533-position model. The record is from RNAcentral.
GUGGGGAAUAUUGCACAAUGGGGGAAACCCUGAUGCAGCAACGCCGCGUGAGUGAUGAAGGCCUUCGGGUUGUAAAUCUCUGUCUUUGGGGACGAUAAUGACGGUACCUAAGGAGGAAGCCACGGCUAACUACGUGCCAGCAGCCGCGGUAAUACGUAGGUGGCAAGCGUUGUCCGGAUUUACUGGGCGUACAGGGAGCGUAGGCGGACUUUUAAGUGAGAUGUGAAAUACCCGGGCUCAACCUGGGUGCUGCAUUUCAAACUGGAAGUCUAGAGUGCAGGAGAGGAGAAUGGAAUUCCUAGUGUAGCGGUGAAAUGCGUAGAGAUUAGGAAGAACACCAGUGGCGAAGGCGAUUCUCUGGACUGUAACUGACGCUGAGAUGCGAAAGCGUGGGUAGCGAAUGGGAUUAGAAACCCGGGUAGUCC